This 465-nucleotide ribosomal RNA is filed under the name uncultured bacterium. RNAcentral describes it as "partial 16S ribosomal RNA". It matches the Rfam family "Bacterial small subunit ribosomal RNA", at positions 338 to 795 of the family's 1533-position model. The record is from RNAcentral.
CCUACGGGAUGCAGCAGUGGGGAAUAUUGCGCAAUGGGCGAAAGCCUGACGCAGCAACGCCGCGUGAGGGAUGAAGGUCUUCGGAUCGUAAACCUCUGUCAGCAGGGAAGAACGGUCACUGUGCUAGUCAGCCGUGCAUUGGCUGUACCUGCAAAAGCAGCACCGGCUAACUCCGUGCCAGCAGCCGCGGUAAUACGUAGGGGGCGAGCGUUGAGCGGAAUUACUGGUUGUAAAGCGCUCGUAGGCGGUAUGGCAAGUCAAGGGUGAAAUCCCCGCGCUCAACGGGGGAACUGCUUUUGAAACUGGCAAACUGGAGUGUGGGAGAGGAUAGUGGAAUUCCAGGUGUAGGAGUGAAAUGCGUAGAUAUUUGGAGGAACACCAGUGGCGAAGGCGACUAGCUGGAACAUAACUGACGCUGAGGAGCGAAAGCGUGGGUAGCAAACAGGAUUAGAUACCCGUGUAGUC